AUGCCUAAGGAGCAAGCAACGGUCUCCCGCCGUUGGAAGGCGGCGCCCGAGGCGCGUGGCGGCGAGGGGAUCGACGCGCUGCCGGGCGAGGUCCUGCAGCACGUACUGUCCUUCUUGCCGGUGGCGGAGGCCGUGCAGACCUGCGUGCUGGCUCGGCGCUGGCGCGACCUCUGGAAGUCCAUGCCGGUCCUGCGCAUCACCUGCGAGGGCAGGAUUCUGAACCGGCGGGGCGUCAGGAGGCUCAACAAGUUUGUGAACCAUCUGCUGCUCCUCCGUGACCGCAGCGCGCCCCUGCAUGCGUGUGAGAUAGAGCUCAGCACUUUCCAUAGCCAGGAUGAACCGCAGGUCAACUUAUGGAUCCGGCAUGCUCUCUUGUGCCAAGCUCGAGUCCUCAGUGUUCAUUUAGGCCGUGAUAACAAUAGCUUCGAGCUGCUGGAGGACCUGCCUCUCGUCUCUCUGCACUUGACGAGGUUGGAGCUUUGCAACGUAGUGUUAAAUGAUAGCAUUCUGUAUUUUUCGAGCUGCCCAGCGCUGGAAGAACUGUGGAUGAGGGGUUGCUACGUCCAAGCUGAUAUGAUCAUGUCCCAGUCCCUAAAACGCCUGACCAUCCUUGACUGCAUAUUUUAUCCAAAUGAACGGACUCGGAUUUCUGUCCCAAGUCUAGUUACACUGGAAUUAAUUGAGUGCUGGGGGAGGACUCCUUUGCUUGAAAGCAUGCCAUCAUUAGUAACAGGAUCUAUUAAGCUUGCCGACUGUGAUGAUUGUUGUGGUAAAGAAGCUGGUGGUUCGUGUGUCGAUGUUACCUGUGAAAAUUGCAGUUCCAUUGAUGAUGACACUGGAGAUUGUGUGCUUCUCAAUGGUUUGUCAGAGGCUAAAAGCUUGGAGUUGAUAGCUGAACCUUGUGUGUUUAUCCUCAAAAGAGAUUUGAUGUGGUGCCCUACCUUUAGCAAGUUAAAAACCUUGUUACUCAAUGAUUGGUGUAUGAAGGCCAAUCUUGGUGCACUCAUGUGCUUUCUCCAACAUACACCUGUUCUCGAGAAGCUUACCAUCCAGCUUUGUCAGGCACCCAGCAGUCGGAUGGGGACUGAAGGAAGCUACAAUCUGACGGGACAACCGUUUGUUUUAUCUAACAAGCUUAAGGUACUUGAAAUCAAGUGUGAGAACAUUGAUGAGAGGGUUCACAGAAUUUUAACGUUCUUGAGUACCUAUAGCAUACAUGUUGAGCAAAUCAAUAUCCAGCAGAGUAUUGGAUCUUCUGAAGCCGCCAAGAUUCCGACGUGUUGA
Molecule: ribosomal RNA, 1284 nt
Filed under: Triticum aestivum (bread wheat)
Lineage: Eukaryota; Viridiplantae; Streptophyta; Magnoliopsida; Poales; Poaceae
Description: partial small subunit ribosomal RNA
Source: RNAcentral